Molecule: transfer RNA, 94 nt
Filed under: compost metagenome
Description: tRNA-Ala
Source: RNAcentral
GUGGGCGUGGCGGUGUUCGCGUGGCUGUGCUGGCGGCGCGCCUGGACCGUGGCCCUGUACUGGGCCGCCGCGCUGCUGGGGGCGCGCGCCUGCG